Molecule: ribosomal RNA, 630 nt
Filed under: uncultured bacterium
Lineage: Bacteria
Description: bacterial SSU rRNA
Rfam family: Bacterial small subunit ribosomal RNA (bases 1-541)
Source: RNAcentral
CCUACGGGAGGCAGCAGUGGGGAAUUUUGGACAAUGGGCGCAAGCCUGAUCCAGCCAUGCCGCGUGCGGGAAGAAGGCCUUCGGGUUGUAAACCGCUUUUGUCAGGGAAGAAAUCCUUUGGGUUAAUACCUCGGAGGGAUGACGGUACCUGAAGAAUAAGCACCGGCUAACUACGUGCCAGCAGCCGCGGUAAUACGUAGGGUGCGAGCGUUAAUCGGAAUUACUGGGCGUAAAGCGUGCGCAGGCGGUUAUGCAAGACAGAUGUGAAAUCCCCGGGCUCAACCUGGGAACUGCAUUUGUGACUGCAUAGCUAGAGUACGGUAGAGGGGGAUGGAAUUCCGCGUGUAGCAGUGAAAUGCGUAGAUAUGCGGAGGAACACCGAUGGCGAAGGCAAUCCCCUGGACCUGUACUGACGCUCAUGCACGAAAGCGUGGGGAGCAAACAGGAUUAGAUACCCUGGUAGUCCACGCCCUAAACGAUGUCAACUGGUUGUUGGACGGCUUGCUGUUCAGUACGAAGCUAACGCGUGAAGUUGACCGCCUGGGGGAGGACGGCCGCGAGUAGUAACGUACGAAGUAGAAGUUAGUACGGCGUGAGACGUAGACCGACGGACGACGACGAGGGAGGAGG